AACGGCCGUACCAUGCUGAAUAUACCGGUUCUCGUUAGAUCACCGAAGUUAAGCAUCAUUGGGCGCGGUCAGUACUUGGGUGGGUGACCACCUGAGAAUACUGCGUGCCGUU
RNAcentral lists this ribosomal RNA (112 nucleotides) under Caerostris darwini. Lineage: Eukaryota; Metazoa; Arthropoda; Arachnida; Araneae; Araneidae. The record is from RNAcentral.